UUUGGUGGUCAAAGCACGAGCAAAACACCCGGCUCCAUUCCGAACCCGGCCGUUAAGUGCCGUUGCGCCGAUGGUACUGCAUCUUCAGGUGUGGGAGAGUAGGUCACCGCCAAUC
RNAcentral lists this ribosomal RNA (115 nucleotides) under bacterium. The record is from RNAcentral. RNAcentral also lists the same sequence under 2 other names.